AUUUGGAGAGGAUGCUUUUGGCGCGGCGCCGUCCGAGUUCCUUGGAACAGGACGCCACAGAGGGUGAGAGCCCCGUACGGACGGACGCCUAGCCUCUACAAAGCUCCUUCGACGAGUCGAGUAGUUUGGGAAUGCUGCUCAAAAUGGGAGGUAAAUUUCUUCUAAAGCUAAAUACCGGCCAGAGACCGAUAGCGCACAAGUAGAGUGAUCGAAAGAUGAAAAGCACUUUGAAAAGAGGGUUAAAAAGUACGUGAAAUUGUUGAAAGGGAAGCGCCUGUGACCAGACUUGCGCCCCGCGGACCACCCGGCGUUCUCGCCGGUGCACUCCGCGGGGCGCAGGCCAGCAUCGGUUCUCCUAGGGGGACAAAGGCCGCGGGAACGUAGCUCCUUCGGGAGUGUUAUAGCCCGUGGCGGCAUGCCCCUGGGGGGACCGAGGACCGCGCUUCGGCAAGGAUGCUGGCGUAAUGGUCACCAGCGACCCGUCUUGAAACACGGACCAAGGAGUCAAGCAUUGGGGCGAGUGUAUGGGUGCCAAACCCGCACGCGAAAUGAAAGUAAACGCAGGUGAGAGCUUCGGCGCAUCAUCGACCGAUCCUGAUGUCUUCGGAUGGAUUUGAGUAAGAGCCUUACCGCUUGGACCCGAAAGAUGGUGAACUAUGCCUGAAUAGGGUGAAGCCAGAGGAAACUCUGGUGGAGG
Molecule: ribosomal RNA, 697 nt
Filed under: Sporothrix guttuliformis
Lineage: Eukaryota; Fungi; Ascomycota; Sordariomycetes; Ophiostomatales; Ophiostomataceae
Description: eukaryotic LSU rRNA
Rfam family: Eukaryotic large subunit ribosomal RNA
Source: RNAcentral